GGCCGCGCUUCAAAAAAAUAACCCUGGCCGAUCCAACACCGGGGUGUAUCAGGUUUUUUUUUAAUUAAAACUCCUUUUCGCGUUGGCGGCCUUCGGCCGCGCUUCAAAAAAAAUAACUCUGGCCGAUCCAACACCGGGGUGUAUCAGGUUUUUUUUAAGUAAAACUCCUUUUCGCGUUGGCGGCCUUCGGCCGCGCUUCAAAAAAAUAACCCUGGCCGAUCCAACACCGGGGUGUAUCAGGUUUUUUUUAAUUAAAACUCCUUUUCGCGUUGGCGGCCUUCGGCCGCGCUUCAAAAAAAUAACUCUGGCCGAUCCAACACCGGGGUGUAUCAGGUUUUUUUUAAGUAAAACUCCUUUUCGUGUUGGCGGCCUUCGGCCGCGCUUCAAAAAAAUAACCCUGGCCGAUCCAACACCGGGGUGUAUCAGGUUUUUUUUUAAGUAAAACUCCUUUUCGCGUUGGCGGCCUUCGGCCGCGCUUCAAAAAAAUAACCCUGGCCGAUCCAACACCGGGGUGUAUCAGGUUUUUUUUUAAUUAAAACUCCUUUUCGCGUUGGCGGCCUUCGGCCGCGCUUCAAAAAAAAUAACUCUGGCCGAUCCAACACCGGGGUGUAUCAGGUUUUUUUUAAGUAAAACUCCUUUUCGCGUUGGCGGCCUUCGGCCGCGCUUCAAAAAAAUAACCCUGGCCGAUCCAACACCGGGGUGUAUCAGGUUUUUUUUUAAUUAAAACUCCUUUUCGCGUUGGCGGCCUUCGGCCGCGCUUCAAAAAAAAUAACUCUGGCCGAUCCAACACCGGGGUGUAUCAGGUUUUUUUUUAAGUAAAACUCCUUUUCGCGUUGGCGGCCUUCGGCCGCGCUUCAAAAAAAUAACCCUGGCCGAUCCAACACCGGGGUGUAUCAGGUUUUUUUUUAAUUAAAACUCCUUUUCGCGUUGGCGGCCUUCGGCCGCGCUUCAAAAAAAAUAACUCUGGCCGAUCCAACACCGGGGUGUAUCAGGUUUUUUUUAAUUAAAACUCCUUUUCGCGUUGGCGGCCUUCGGCCGCGCUUCAAAAAAAUAACCCUGGCCGAUCCAACACAGGGGGGUGUCAAAAAUCUUGAUAUAUCAAGAAAAAGGGCAAUGAUUUAUGUAUUUGGGGUAUAGUCCUAUUUUUUAUUCAUUUUUAUUCGUUUGAUAAAUGUGUAAUUAUGGCAACACUUAUUAUUUGUCAACACGGAAUACUUUUGUUAUUGUGCAUGAAAUGAAAAUUGUGUAAAAUAUAAAAUGCUUAUUUUAAGCAAAUAACUAAAUAAUUACUGGAAAAAAAAUAUGUAGAAACAAUGUAAUGAAGUAUAAAUGCAUAAAAAAGGCAUAAUAUGAAUUAAAUAAUUACUAGCAAUCGAGAAAUUGCAAGAUAAAAUUAGCAACAUUUUCAACUUUAAAUGCAAAUAUCUCGGAAACUAUAAGUUUGCGGCAGCAACAAUUAUAUAUUUUCUUAAUCUGGAGCAUCAGCUCUAUCCAACCAUACCACUUUUAACCCUGAAAUCGUGGGAUCGUAUACUAAAGCCGACCCGAAAGGAUAUAGCGAAUAAGUAUUAUGAUCCCUUUGUUGAAAUCAUACCUAAAGGCCUACAACUUUUUUUUACAAUAGAAAAUUUACUUCAGAAGAUGAUAUUUGUUUCCUGCGUUUGAGUUUUUUUUUUUAAUUUUUAUUAUUUUCAACCGGUUGGAUAUGGUAACUUUUAUUAUUUGACAACACGGAACACUUAUGUUAUAAACAUGUAAUGAAAUUUGUGUAAAAAAUAAAAUGCUUAUUUUGAGCUAAUAUCGAAAUAAUUAAUAUAAAAUAAAUAUGUAGAAACAAUGUGGAUAAGUGUAAGAGUAGGGUCGGCUUUAGUAUACCAUCCCACGAUUUCAGGGUUAAAAGUGGCAUGGUUGGAUAGAGCUGCUGCUCCAGAUUAAGAAAAUAUAUAAUUGUUACCGCCGCAAACUUAUAGUUUUCGAGAUAUUUGCAUUUAAAGUUCAAAAUUUUGCAAAUUUUAUCUUGCAAUUUCUCGAUUUUUAGUAGUGAUGAGCGAUAUUUCACUACCGGUGAUUUUUUCACUGUGAUUGAAAAAUCGCAAAUCGCAACUGCGAUCUUCUUCUUCUUAAUUGGCGUAGACACCGCUUAUGCGAUUAUAGCCGAGUCAACAACAGCGCGCCAGUCGUUUCUUCUUUUCGCUACGUGGCGCCAAUUGGAUAUUCCAAGCGAGGCCAGGUCCUUCUCCACUUGGUCCUUCCACCGGAGUGGAGGUCUUCCUCUUCCUCUGCUUCCCGCGGCGGGUACUGCGUCGAAUACUUUCAGAGCUGGAGUGUUUUCGUCCAUCCGGACAACAUGACCUAGCCAGCGUAGCCGCUGUCUUUUAAUUCGCUGAACUAUGUCAAUGUCGUCGUAUAUCUCGUACAGCUCAUCGUUCCAUCGAAUGCGGUAUUCGCCGUGGCCAACGCGCAAAGGACCAUAAAUCUUUCGCAGAACUUUUCUCUCGAAAACUCGCAACGUCGACUCAUCUGUUGUUGACAUCGUCCAGGCCUCUGCACCAUAUAGCAGGACGGGAAUUAUGAGUGACUUAUAGAGUUUGGUUUUU
This is a long non-coding RNA of Bactrocera dorsalis (oriental fruit fly), 2597 nucleotides long. RefSeq lists it as uncharacterized. The record is from RefSeq and is a predicted model, not a curated record. NCBI's taxonomy places the organism in Eukaryota, Metazoa, Arthropoda, Insecta, Diptera, Tephritidae. The transcript has 2 exons.